AUUGAACGCUGGCGGCAGGCCUAACACAUGCAAGUCGAGCGGAUGAAGGGAGCUUGCUCCUGGAUUCAGCGGCGGACGGGUGAGUAAUGCCUAGGAAUCUGCCUGGUAGUGGGGGAUAACGUCCGUAAACGGGCGCUAAUACCGCAUACGUCCUGAGGGAGAAAGUGGGGGAUCUUCGGACCUCACGCUAUCAGAUGAGCCUAGGUCGGAUUAGCUAGUUGGUGGGGUAAAGGCCUACCAAGGCGACGAUCCGUAACUGGUCUGAGGGGAUGAUCAGUCACACUGGAACUGAGACACGGUCCAGACUCCUACGGGAGGCAGCAGUGGGGAAUAUUGGACAAUGGGCGAAAGCCUGAUCCAGCCAUGCCGCGUGUGUGAAGAAGGUCUUCGGAUUGUAAAGCACUUUAAGUUGGGAGGAAGGGCAGUAAGUUAAUACCUUGCUGUUUUGACGUUACCAACAGAAUAAGCACCGGCUAACUUCGUG
RNAcentral lists this ribosomal RNA (484 nucleotides) under uncultured bacterium. RNAcentral describes it as "partial 16S ribosomal RNA". It matches the Rfam family "Bacterial small subunit ribosomal RNA", at positions 30 to 507 of the family's 1533-position model. The record is from RNAcentral.